This 465-nucleotide ribosomal RNA is filed under the name uncultured bacterium. Its description in RNAcentral is "bacterial SSU rRNA". It matches the Rfam family "Bacterial small subunit ribosomal RNA", at positions 30 to 507 of the family's 1533-position model. The record is from RNAcentral.
AUUGAACGCUGGCGGUAUGCUUAAGACAUGCAAGUCGAACGGUAACAGGUUAAGCUGACGAGUGGCGGACGAGUGAGUAACGCGUGGGAAUCUACCUUGUAGUGGGGGAUAAGCCAGGGAAACUUGGACUAAUACCGCAUACGCCCUAAGGGGGAAAGGCGCAAGUCGCUAUAAGAUGAGCCCGCGUCUGAUUAGGUAGUUGGUGGGGUAAAGGCCUACCAAGCCGACGAUCAGUAGCUGGUCUGAGAGGAUGAUCAGCCACACUGGGACUGAGACACGGCCCAGACUCCUACGGGAGGCAGCAGUGGGGAAUUUUGGACAAUGGGCGCAAGCCUGAUCCAGCCAUGCCGCGUGCGGGAAGAAGGCCUUCGGGUUGUAAACCGCUUUAGUCCGGAAAAAGGGUGCGAGGAGUAAUACCCUCGUGCUUUGAUGGUACUGGAAGAAUAAGCACCGGCUAACUACGUG